RNAcentral lists this long non-coding RNA (359 nucleotides) under Arachis ipaensis. RNAcentral describes it as "long non-coding RNA (AIPA_LNC000165)". Lineage: Eukaryota; Viridiplantae; Streptophyta; Magnoliopsida; Fabales; Fabaceae. The record is from RNAcentral.
CAUGCCUUUUCGUUAUAUAGAUAGGUGCUUAUAUAUAAUUAAUAACUAAAAAAUGUGAUAUAUCUAGCUAGAUUUAUUCUCAUCUAUGAACAAUAAUGAAAGAUCCUCUAUAUAUCAUCAUUAUCAUUCAGAUCUAUACACAGAUCAGAAAGAAUGAAGCAUAAACUAGUGUAAAGAACGUAACAAAUGAUUGAAGAUUGAAAAUGAUGAUACAUAUUAUUAUAUACUGCUGUAUCUAUAGGCAAACCCUAGCUAGACCCAGCAAAGAAAAAUAGGUGUAUCUAUCGCAUUAACUUAAUAUCACUAAUAUAUGUAUGUUUCUUUAUCGAAUGGAUCGGAAUAAUGGACACAGUGAUGAG